Non-coding RNA from Xenopus tropicalis (tropical clawed frog), 47 nucleotides. Lineage: Eukaryota; Metazoa; Chordata; Amphibia; Anura; Pipidae. The record is from Rfam.
ACAAAGGCUCUUCUAAGGGCCACCCACCUCCUCCCUAUAAGGUCUGU